This 526-nucleotide ribosomal RNA is filed under the name uncultured fungus. RNAcentral's name for it is "eukaryotic LSU rRNA". The stretch from base 168 to 321 matches the Rfam family "5.8S ribosomal RNA". Lineage: Eukaryota; Fungi. The record is from RNAcentral.
CUCGGGCACCCCCUGAGUCCGCUUUCAAAACCCAAUGUUUACCAAUCCAGGUUGCUUCGGCGGGCCGUCCGGCCCAGCUGGCCACCGGCUUCGGCCGGUGAGCGCCCGUCAGAGGACCGUAAAAAUCAGGCGUACCGGCAGUCAGAGCCCAAAGUAAAAUGAAGCAAAACUUUCAACAACGGAUCUCUUGGUUCCGGCAUCGAUGAAGAACGCAGCGAAAUGCGAUAAGUAAUGUGAAUUGCAGAAUUCAGUGAACCAUCGAGUCUUUGAACGCACAUUGCGCCCCUUGGUAUUCCGAGGGGCACGCCUGUCCGAGCGUCGUUCCAACCCCUCAAGCCCAGCUUGGUAUUGAGCCGCGCCCCAGGUGGGCGGGCUCGGAAGCAGUUGGCGGCAUGGUGCCCCCGAGAAGCGUGAUGCACUCACCGACUUGGGCGGGCACCCACCGACCUCAAACCACAACCAUGAAGUCGACCUCGGAUCAGGCGGGGAUACCCGCUGAACUUAAGCAUAUCAAUAAGCGGAGGAA